Molecule: long non-coding RNA, 536 nt
Organism: Homo sapiens (human)
Lineage: Eukaryota; Metazoa; Chordata; Mammalia; Primates; Hominidae
Source: Ensembl
GGACAAAGGGGAAGGAAACGCAGUGAGCACACCAGCAGGCUUCUGUCCCCAGCCAGGGCCCGUUCCUCUGGGUGGCCCUGGCUCGGGCCUCCGGUGGAGCCUCCUGCUCUGCGGAUCUUCUGGUUUCUCAUCUGCCCUCCCCUGAGCCCUGGGAGGACGGCGCUCACCGACACACUGGAGCUGCGCAGUUUCAGGCCACUGUUCCCAGACUUGCACUGACUCCAUGAUGAUCAACUCUGCCCAGGAAGUUGUCUCAGAGGGUCACCAGGAAGUGCACGGUCCAGCUGCACACAGAGGGCUCUGACUCUCCCUGAACAGCAGAGCCACAGGGGUCCCUGAGUCAGCCAGGAAGAGGGCCACCUGCCCACCAGAAGCACCACAUGGAGCUGUUCAGGAAGCAAGAAUUAACGGUGUUACAUGAAGCCACUGAAAUGCGGAGGUUUUGCUUGUUAGAUGCUAUUAUAAGUUCCCUAAUAUGGCAUGUUAUAAAUCAUCUCUGGCUGCCUCUGAAUACAGUGUGUUUUCUAAACCAAAAG